This 253-nucleotide ribosomal RNA is filed under the name uncultured bacterium. RNAcentral's name for it is "partial 16S ribosomal RNA". It matches the Rfam family "Bacterial small subunit ribosomal RNA", at positions 524 to 776 of the family's 1533-position model. The record is from RNAcentral.
UACGGAGGGAGCUAGCGUUGUUCGGAAUUACUGGGCGUAAAGCGCACGUAGGCGGCUAUUCAAGUCGGGGGUGAAAGCCCGGGGCUCAACCCCGGAACUGCCCUCGAAACUAGAUAGCUAGAAUCUUGGAGAGGCGAGUGGAAUUCCGAGUGUAGAGGUGAAAUUCGUAGAUAUUCGGAGGAACACCAGUGGCGAAGGCGGCUCACUGGUCCAUUACUGACGCUGAGGUGCGAAAGCGUGGGGAGCAAACAGG